This 253-nucleotide ribosomal RNA is filed under the name uncultured bacterium. RNAcentral describes it as "partial 16S ribosomal RNA". It matches the Rfam family "Bacterial small subunit ribosomal RNA", at positions 524 to 776 of the family's 1533-position model. The record is from RNAcentral.
UACAGAGGUCUCAAGCGUUGUUCGGAUUUAUUGGGCGUAAAGGGUGCGCAGGCUGUAUGGUAAGUUUGGUGUGAAAUCCUGGAGCUUAACUCCAGAAUUGCACUGAAUACUGCCGUGCUAGAGGACUGGAGAGGAGAUUGGAAUUCACGGUGUAGCAGUGAAAUGCGUAGAUAUCGUGAGGAAGACCAGUGGCGAAGGCGAAUCUCUGGACAGUUCCUGACGCUCAUGCGCGAAGGCCAGGGGAGCAAACGGG